AUUGAAACAAGAUGGCGGGUUCGUGGUGAGAAGCCGUCAAGGAGUAGAAAUUGGUAUGCUUAGAAGCAGAUUCUAAAAGCAGUUUCUCUUCAGAACAUCUUUUUUCAUACCACUUGAUAAGCAUCUUGAAACACCAUGGCUGUAGCUGCAGUAAAAUGGGUGAUGUCAAAGAGAACUAUCUUGAAACAUUUAUUUCCAGUCCAAAAUUCGGGCGUACAUGUGCAGGUUUGUUACGUGGAUGUAUUACAUAUACUGAGGUUUGGGCUUCAACUGAACCCGUCACCCAAAUAGUGAACAUAGUACCCAAUAGAUGGAGCUUUAUAUUGUGUUUGUCAUAAAUCUACGUAUUCUCCUCUACCAGAUGACUAUAAUUGCAACGUAGAGCUUGCUCUGACUUCUGAUGGCAGGACAAUAGUAUGCUACCACCCUUCUGUGGACAUUCCAUAUGAACACACAAAACCUAUCCCUCGGCCAGAUCCUGUGCAUAAUAAUGAAGAAACACAUGAUCAAGUGCUGAAAACCAGAUUGGAAGAAAAAGUUGAACACCUUGAGGAAGGACCUAUGAUAGAACAACUUAGCAAAAUGUUCUUUACUACUAAGCACCGUUGGUAUCCUCAUGGACGGUAUCACAGAUGUCGUAAGAAUCUGAAUCCUCCAAAAGACAGAUGAUGCGGAGGUUCCUGGGGGAAUCAAAGAGAAAUGUGCCUCAUUUGCCAUUUGAGAAAAUGCAGUCUGGUGUAUUCAGUAAUAUAUAGUAAAGUAAUAAUGAUAAAAUAUCUUUUCAUAUAUUAGAAUGUGUACUUUUAUAUAAAGUAAUUCUGGAUUUGACAUUCUCAUUUAGAGAAACCUAUUUUCUUUUUUCUUUUUCUAUUUUAGUGUUUCAUUUAUGUGCGGUCUCCAAUUUAGGACUUUUCCAUAGUGCCAAAGCCAUACAUAUUCAGUAGAACAUCAAUAAAUUACAUCAGAAAUUCAACACUUUAUUAUAAAACGGGCUUCGUGUUAGAUAAUUUUGCUAAACAGUAGGCUACUGUAAGUGUUCUGAGCAUAUUUAAGACAGGCUAGCAUUUUCAAUUUACAAUAUUUUCAACUGAUAGUAGGUUUAUUGGGAUGUAACCCUAUGAUAAGUUGAGAAACAUCUCUUUUUGUGUGUCUACUGUGAUUUAAGUAUUUUUAAUCAUCAGCCAAGCAUUGUUAGUAGUAUAAAUAUGAUUAAUAAAAAUGUGCAUGGCUUUCCUGAAGGAGAUUUUUUAAUUGCCUUUGAGAAUAAACUCAUAAGGUCUACCAAGAAAAUAAAUGUUAUGAUGUUUCAGUUGGCUUCUAGGAAAUAAUUAAAUUAGUGAUAUUUUAAUCAGGUUUUACUAUCUGCUAGGCCCCUUCCAUCAAUUCUUAUUAAAUUCUCAAAAUAAUCCUUUGAAAAGGGAGUAUAAUUACAUUUUACAGUGACUCGAACCUUACCCAAACAAGUGGGAGAGCCAGGAGCCAAACUAUCAGGCUCCAAAGCUUUUUUUUAGUGCAUCACAAUGACAAAGGGGUGGUUUUCUUUCACCCAAGAAUGUGCUUUCCUGGAAAUUUUUCUAGAUAGAAUAUUAUGUAAUUUGUUUUGAAGGUUUUUUUUCCUGACUGUCUUAAAGAUUAUGCUAGCUUUAGAACACAUGCAAACAGCUGCAGCUCUGUGAUUAAAAUGUUAAGGUCACUAGAAUAGUGUUAGGAAAAUGUUAAUAGAUAAUUCUGCUGCCUCUAUUAGCUUAUGUAUGAUCCUUAAUAGCAUUGCUUCCCCUUCAGUUUCUAUUUAGGAGGUGAAGAAUCUUUUAAUAAGGUAGAAAGUUGCUUUAUUUAAAUUUGUACUGUAGAAUGUUUGUGAUACAGUAUUUGUAAAAUUGAUAUGAAAAAUAAUUUCUCAAAGUCUAUUGUUUGAUCUAGUUAUUUUAAUAAAGGAACUCUAGAAGUUUCAAGUGGCCAGUGAAGUGUGAGGAAUAGAGAGUAAAGGAAAUAAUUAAUAAUGGUGACCCUCUGUUAAGUGGUUUACUUUUUCCAUUAAUAUAAAUUUCAUUUGGAAAGAUUAAAAAAACAAGUUUGAUUGAACUUGAUAAAUCAGAAAUAUUUACCAGCUUUGUCGAUGGUGUAUUCUUGAAAAAUGUUUGGUUUUCUUUCAGGUUGACUUAUAUCCAAAAUUCUACAAAUUCUUAGCUAUGUUAUAAAUGUAGAAAGAAGUGAAAAAUCAAAAUAUGAUUAUGAAGAUUUUCUUCUCUUCCGAGUACAAAGCUCUGCUAAAUAAGGAUUUACCCAAGAUGCCCACAUCCACAUACUUAUGUGUCAGUGCUUUGGAGAAUUAACUUUGACUUUAUUCUACUGGAAGUAUAGAUUAACACUGUGCUUUCUGGGAUUUUGCUUUUCAUGGGUUGCUGAUUUUUAAUUUUGCUAAAUAAGCACAUAGUCCGUGAUCACCAGCAUCACCUGCCCUCUGUUCCUCCCCCGUCCCCCAGGGAUAAGAACCUGUUAUCCACCAUCAGUAACAUUUUAUGAAAGAUCUACUUAUUUGUCUGUUUUGCAGACAUUUUAAAAUUCGUAAAGUGGGAUGCUUCUUUAAUUUAAAUACAUUUAGCUUCAUGAAAAACUCACUACACAGUUCUUGUUCAAGCAUUAUUGGGAAACCACCAGAGGGCACUCUCACCCAGGGCUUAAUUUGAACAUCUCGCCCAAAAGUGACUUUUAAAAGCACUUAAUUAGCAGAGAAUUUGGAUGUUCAUUAGUUGAGAAUGACUAGUAGAAUAAAUGGUAAUAGUGAAAUUAAGUGCUGGAAUAUUCUGAGUAGACCAAUAGCAAAAACUGAUUUUUUUUUUUUUUUAAAGAAAAGGUCUUGCUGUGUCGCCCAGGAUGGAGUGCAGUGGCACAAUCACAUUGCACUGCAACCUCAAUAUCCUGGGCUCAAGCAAUCCUCCCACCGCAGCCUCCCGAAUUGCUGAGACUACACAUGUGUGCUACCAUGCCUGGCUAAUUGUUUUAAUUUUUUUUAUAGAGACGGGGUUUCGCCAUGUUGCCCAGGCUGGUCUUGAACUCCUGGGCUCAAAGCGAUCCACCCACCUUGGCCUCCAAAAGUAUGGGAUUACAGGUGUGAGCCACUGUGCCCAGCCUUAUUUUUUUUUUUUAAGAUAAUAUUGUUAACAUUUUGUAUUUCUCUGCAUAAAUAUAUUUCAAAAAUAAAAAUAGAGCUCAUAAUAUAUGCUGUUUUGUAAUGCUUUUUUCACUUAAUAGGAAUUUUUUCCGUAUCAUUAAGUACUCUGAUUUAAUGGGUGCAUAUUAUUCUAUAAUCUGGCUUGUCAUAAUUUAAUUAACUCCCUGCUGUUAGACAAAAUCAUUGUUUCUGUUCCAUCUUGUGAAUAAUGCUGUUAUUAACAUCCUGGUGGAUUAUUACCAUUUUCUUUUUUUAUUUUUUUUUUAAAUUUAUUUCUUCUUUUUUUUUUCUUAUAAUCUCAUCAGAAGCUGGCAAGAUCAUUACUGUUUUCUUAGAUUUGUUUCUGUAAGUGCAAUCGUUGAAUCACCAUGUCCGGCAUCCAUGUUUAUGUACAUUUUUAAAGUCAGUGGUUUAAACUGUAUACUUUUUGGGUUUUGGAGAUGGAGGUUUGCUCUGCCCAAGCUGGAAUGCAAUGGCGCGAUCUUGGCUCACUGCAGCCUCCACCUCCCGGGUUCAAGUGAUUCUCCUGCCUCAGCCUCCUUAAGUAGUUGGGAUUACAAGUGUGCACCACCAUACUCAGGUAAUUUUGCAUUUUUAGUAGAGACAGGGUUUCACCAUGUUGGUCAGGCUGGUCUCGAACUCCUGACCUCAAGUGUCCACACACCUUGGCCUCCCAAAGUGCUGGGUGGGAUUAUAGGUGUGAGCCUCCAUGCCUGGCCUAAACUGCAUACUCCUAACAUCAGUAUAUAGAAAUAUUUUCUCUUUAGUUCUAUUAAAAUUUUAAAAAAUCUUUAUCAAUUUAGUAGGCAAAGACUGGAAAAUGUUUUAAUUUGAUCAGCCACUUUAAUGUAUGUCUCAUUUCAAAGCAUAUAAAGUAUACAAGUUUCAGGUCCUAGCUUAAACCUAUAAGAGGCCUUAUUAUGGGCUUAUUUCCUUUGCAGCCCUUUACCAUAAUGUGUUUCUUCUACCUCCCCUGCACAACAUUGUUUAUAUGCCCCCUAAAAUGUAACUUCUUUAGAUUCUGUUGUUACGUGCAACACUGUAUAUCUCUCCAUAGCACUUAAUCAGAGUUUGUAAUUAGGCAUCUUUUUGUGUGAUUAUUUGGUAAAUGUCCAUAUCCCCUACUAGCCUAUAAGCUCCAUGACUUCUAGGUACCCUGUCUGACUACGUGUAUCACUGUUUCUACCGCCUAACAUUGCCUAGCACAUUCAUUGCUUCACAGGCAUCUGAAUAUGGUUUUAUAAAAUACAUUGCUCUAGUGCACAGGAUUUUAAGCUAAGGAUUUCAUGAAUGGGAUUUGGGGUAGGGGCAUCUAUGAAAUUCCUGAAAUUGUGUAGAAUUUUGAGAAUAUGUGUUUUCCUGGGGAUAGAGUAUGUAGUUUCUCAGCAACUCAUUACAGUCUGUCACAUCAUGCCCUAAUUCUACUUGCCUGUAGCUAAACACCUAAUAACAUUAGAACUGAAAUGAUAGUGAUAUGCAAGAUAGCACGUGUGGUUUCCACAUAUUCUAAGAGGCAUCUUCAAUUAGAUUCCAAAAAUUUUUAAGAAAAAAAGAUAUAAUGUGCCAUCAUUUUGGAUGGUUCUGGGCACUUCAGGUAAACCCUUACUCAAAGAAUACUUUUUCAGUUUCAAUGUGUAUUUUUAAAAUUUCCAGAAGAUGAGUUGAAUAUCAGCCCACAAACACUGGUAGUAAGCAAACUAUUUUAUUUGCUAAAGGCAUAAAUAAAUGUCUCCUUUGCUUUUAGGCAAAGGGAAUGCUUCUUCAGAUUUUUUUUUUUCCCCAGAAGUUCAAAAUAACUUGCUCAUAGUCUUCCCAAAAUAAUUUUCAAACAUUCUAACACCAAAGAAAGAUACUCCCAAUUGAGCUCAGCCAUCAGCCUCCUACUAUUUUUUAAUGUGCUGUUUAACCUUGUGAAUGUGAGAAUAUUUUGAAUGCACUGGGAAGGAAUACUCAGGAACAAUAUGUAAUGUGCUUUCUAGUUUUGCACAAAGGCAUUCAUUUUGAUUUAGUAACAACCUCAUACUUACAUAGCAUAUCCUUCUGCAGAAAUGCUUCACAGCCAUGACUGCUUGAAUUCUUGUCAUGUUGCUUGUAAAUGAGCUCCUGUUUUUAGAUGGAGAAAUGGAGGCAGAGUCUCACAAUUACAUGUGAGAAUAGCAAGUAGAACCUUAUGAUUACUUCUGAGUCUUUUUUUUUUUUUUUUUUUUGAGAUGGAGUUUCACUUUUGUCACCCAGGCUGGAGUGCAGUACAGUGGCCAGUGGCAUGAUCUCAGCCCACUGCAACCUCCGCCUCAUAGGCUCAAGCAAUUCUCCUGCCUCAGCCUCCCGAGUAGCUGGGAUUAUGAGCGUGCACCAGCAUGCCUGGCUGAUUUUUUGUAUUUUCAGUAGAGAUGGGGUUUCACCACGUUGGCCAGGCUGGUCUUGAACUCCUGACCUCAGGUGAUCUGCCCACCUUGGCCCCCCAAAAUACUGGGAUUACAAGGGUGAGCCACUGUGCCCAGCCUCUUCUGAGUCUUCAAUUCAGCAAGAAUGUCUCUUUUUUUUUUUUUUUUUUUUUUGGGACAGAGUCUUGCUCUUGUUGCCUUGGCUGGAGUGUAGUGGCACAUUCUCAGCUCACUGCAACCUCCACCUCCCGGGUUCAAGCGAUUCUCCUGCCUCAGCUUCCCAAGUAGCUGGGACUAUAGGCAUGCAACACCAUGUCCGGCUAAUUUUUUGUAUUUAGUAGAGAUGGGGUUUCUCCAUGUUGGUCAGGCUGGUCUCAAACUCCUGACCUCAGGUGAUCCACCUGCUUUCGCCUCCUGAAGUGCUGGGAUUACAGGCAUGAGCCACCACGCCCGGCCAAGAAUGUCUUUUCUUUAUAAUGUUGUCUCUAAGCAUGUAAUCUUUUCGGCAAAUUUUAUUAAGCACCUAUAGAGUUCAAGCCACUGUGGGUUCAAAGAUAGCCCUCAUUCCUGAUUGACAAAGUAUCUUGCUAUGACCAUCCCUUCUUUCCCCUCUAGUCAAAAUUAGUCUCUUCUUCACUCAUAAUGCAAAGUACAUUGGAUUACUAUUAUGCCACUUACUUGAAUAAUUGUCUUGAUGAGUAAUAUAUGUAGUCAGUAACAUGGUUAAGUGUGGCAAUUUGGAUUGAUCCCAUUGGACUUUUCAAUUGCUGCAUCCAGGUGUAAUUACCAUAAGAGCAUAGAAGAUAGAAUCGUAAAGCUGAAAGACAUCUUAAAGAUGAUUUUUGGGGACUGAUUUGGAAACAGAUCCAAAGACACUAAUUGACUUGCCCAAGAUCACAGAUUGUGGCAGAACCAACCAAUGUCUUUUUUAAACAUUAAGGACAUCUUAUAUGUAUAUUUAUGCAUAUACAUACUGAUGAAAUGUGCCUUUAGCAAUAGAUGUGUCCAGUGAUGUACUAAUGAAGAUUUAACAACUGGUUCUAACUUGUAAUGUUUGCCAGUUUCCAUGACUGGGUCUUACAAGUUGUUGUGCACUGACUCCAUCAUUCCACUGGAUGUGCCCCUGAAAUCAUAUAUUUACUACUAAAACCAUUAGAUUGUUUCCUUGUUCCAGUUAUGCAUUCAGAGACACUCCACCUUAUUUUCUGAUUACAUUUGCAGGGAGAAAUAACUCCUUACUUGUCAGUUUCAGCCUUCACUUUUAGUUUCUUUUUCUUUUCCUUUUUCCAACCCAGUAUACCUUAGAAACUUUCAGUUUCUUUUAAGGAUUUAAUAACUUGCUUAUAAGUGUUUAAAAUGACUUAAUGGGUUCUAUCUUUUAAGGGAACUUUGGAUGAAUCCUUGAAUAUCAGUUAUCUAUUGCCAAUUAACAAAUCACCCCAAAGCUCAUUGGCUUAAAACAACAAUCUUUCAUUAGUUUGCGUUCUUCCAGGUAAUUCUUAUAGUCUGGAUCCAGCUCAGCUUAUCUUGGCUGGACUUGCCCAUGCAGCUGAGGUCACUAGUUGGGUUGUUGAGGCUGGCUAGUCCUAGAUGGUGUCACUCAUAUGUCUGGUAUUGAGUGACUGUCACCUGGGGCAUUAGGGGGACUGUGUCUCUCAUCAUCCAGCAAGCUAGGCCUGGAUUCUUCACAUGGCUUUAGGAUUUCAAGAGUAUGAGAUUGGGGCUGGGCAUGAUGACUCACACCUGUAAUCCCAGCACUUUGGGAGGCCAAGGUUGGGGGAUUUCUUGAGCCCAGGAGUUCAAGACCAGCCUGGGCAACAUAGUGAGAGCCCAUCUGUAAAAAAAAAAAUUUUUUGAGAUGGAGUUUCGCCCUUGUUGCCCAGGCUGGAGUGCAAUGGCGCAAUCUCAGCCCACCAGAACCUUUGCCUCUUGGGUUCAAGCGAUUCUCCUGCCUCAGUCUCCUGAGUAGCUGAGAUUACAGGCAUGAGCCACCACGCCCAGCUAAUUUUGUAUUUUUAGUAGAGAUGGGUUUCUCCGUGUUGGUCAGGCUGGUCUUGAAUUCCCCACCUCAGGUGAUCUGCCUGCCUCAGCCUCCCAAAGUGCUGGGAUUACAGGUGUGAGCCACCACGCCUGGUCUUCUACAAAAAAAUUUUAAAAAAUUAGCUGGGGGUGGGGAGGGUGGGGUGGUGCUGCAUGCCUGUAGUCCCAGCUAUUUGGGAGGCUGAGAUGGGAGGAUUGCUUGAGCCCAUGAGAUUGAGGCUGUAGUGAGCCAUGAUUGUGCCACUGCACUCUAGGCUGGGCAACAGAACAAGCACCUGUAUCAAAACAAACAAAAAAGUGCAAGAUUGGAAGCUUCGAGGCUUCUUGAGGCCUAGUCUCAGAACUGGCACAAUAUCACUUCAUAAGGCUAUCUCAGAUUCAAGGGAGUAAGAGGAGAGAUGCUACCUAUUAAAAGGAGAAGCAGCAAAUACUAUGGCCAUUCUCUUCACAAUAGUUGUCACCAAAACGUAAUCGAUUUGUUUAUGGGUUUACAUUGUCAUGUCUCCACAGGACAAUGCACAUGGUAUGUUUGUCAGAACCCAGUUGGAGUUUUGUUUCCCAGCAUCCAAAGGAAAUCCCUAACUUUCAUUUUUUCUUCCCGUAAGCAGCCCCGAACACUUACUUAUAAGCCAUCUCUACCUGAAUUAGCAAUCAUGGAUAAGCUCAAUAACUGAUCAUUUCCUUAUCAGUUUAAACCAUAUAUAUUUUAACACUGUCUCUUUUUCACACACACUAGUUAGCUAAGAAUGAGCUGGGGGGCUGGGCGUGGUAGUUCACACCUGUAAUCCCAGCACUUUAGGAGGCGGAGGUGGGCGGAUCACUUGAGGUCAGGAGUUUGAGACCAGCCUAGCUAACAUGGUGAAACCCCGUCUCUACUAAAAAUGCAAAAAUUAGCUGGGUGUGGUGGCAGGCAUCUGUAAUCCUAGCUACUCAGGAGGCUGAGGCAGGAGAAUCCCUUGAACCCAGGAGGCAGAGGUUGCAGUGGGCCAAGAUCACACCACUGCACUCCAGUCUGGGUGAUAAAACGAGAUUCCGUCUCAAAAAAAAAAAAAAAACUGCCAAAACGCUUUUUGCAAAGUGGUUGUACCAUUUUAUAUUCUCACCACCAUGAAUGAAAGUUCCAAUUGCUAUAUUCUUGCCCUCAUUUGAUAAUAUUUUUAGUUUUAGCCAUUCUAAUGGAUAUAUAGUAAUAAUUUGAUGGUUUUAAUUUGCAUUUCUCUGAUGAUCAAUAACAUUAAGUUUUGAUUCAGGUACUUGUUGGGCACUCAUAUCUUUGGUGAAAUAUCUGUUCAAAUCAUUUGCUCUUUUUUUUUUCUUAGCACUUAAAAAAGACUUUUUGCCAGGCACAGUGGCACAUGCCUGUAGACCUAGCUACUCAGGAGGCUAAGACAGGAGGAUCACUUGAGUCCAGAAGUUCUGGGUUGUAGUGAGCUAUGUCAAUCAGGUGUUUGCACUAAGUUCAGCAUAAAUGUAGUGACCUCCUGGGUCACUGGGACCCAGAGUUGCCUAAGGAGCGUCAGAAGUGGAGCAGGUCAAAACUCCUGUGCUGAUCAGUAGUGGGAUCACACCUGUGAAUAGCCACUGCACUGCAGCCUGGGCAACAUAGUGAGAUCCUCAUCUCCUGAAAAAAAAAAAAAACUUUAGUUUUUAAAAGUAGUUUUAGGUUCUGAGCAAAAUUGAGAGGAGGGUACAGAAAUAACUUAUAUAUCCUCAGUGCUCCCCUCCCCCAUGCCUCCCUCAUCACCAUCCCCCAGCAGAGUGGCACAUUGGUUACAAUUGAUAAACCUACACUGACACAUCAUUAUCACCCAAAGCCUAUUGUUUCCAUUAGGGUUCACUCUUGGUGCUGUACAAUCUAUGGGUUUGAACAAAGGUACAAUGACAUGUAUCCAUCUUUAUAGUCAUGCAGAGUCUACACUGUCCUAAAAACCCUUGGCUCUGCCUCUUCGUCGUGUCCUCCCCACUGACCCCCGGCUACCACUGGUCUUUUCACUGUCUCCGUAAGUUUUUCCUUUUUCAGAACGCCAUAUAGUUGGAAUCAUAAAGUAUAUAUAGCCUUUUCACAUUGGUUUCUUUCACUGGAUAAUAUGCAUUUGUUUCCUCUAUGUCUUUUCACAGUUUGAUAGCUCAUUUCUUUUUAGCAUCGAGUAAUACUCCAUUGUCUGGGUGUACAACAGUUUAUCCAUUCACCUGCUGAAGGACAUCUUGGUUGAUUGCUUCCAAGUUUUGGCAAUUAUGAAUAAAAUUGCUAUAGAUAUCCAUGUGUAGGUUUUUGUGUCCAUUUAAGCUUUCAACUCCUUUGGGUAAAUACCAAAGAGCACAAUUGUUGGAUUGAAUGCUAAGAGAAUGUUUCGUUUUGUAAAAAACCACCAAACUGUCCUACAGAGAGGCUGUACCAUUUUGCAUUCCCACCAGCAGUGAAUAAGGGUUCCUAUUGCUCAACAUCCCUGUCAGCACUUGGUGUUAGUGUUCUGAAUUUUGGCCAUUCUAAAAGGUGUGUAGUGGUGUCUCACUUGUUUUGUGUUUUUCUCUGCUCAGACAGCUCAUCCACAUCACAUUUAUUUUAAUUUGCAUUUCCCUGAUAAUAUGUGAUAUGGAACAUCUAUUUACUCAUUAUUUUUUCUUCUUAUGAUUGAAGUUAUAAUAUUUCUUUAAAUAUUUUGGAUAAAUCUUUUGUCAGAUAUAUGCACUGGAAAUAUUUUUAUGGGGGACCAGUGUUAAGAUUAGAUCUGUUUAAAGAGAAAGGAGAGAAAGUUUCAGGCAGGGAAUGCAAUCGAUGUGAAGGUUUGGGGUAAUUUGUUUCAUUUAUCUUUAACACCAUGUUAUGGAUGGCAAAAUAACUUCACUGGCUUUUUUUAUCAAGAAAAGACUUACCUUUUCUGAAUGCAACAGUAUUAGUAAACCUAAUGGUGACAAUAAAAGCGAUUCUGAAUAAAUGAAAACCAAUAGAUUGUUCUAGUUUUACUCAUAAAUAUAAUUCUUCAUAUACUGAGUUCAGUUUUUUAGCCAUAAAUGAAGACAUGGGAAAACCAUAACAUGUUAUUUGCUGAGAAGUUCUGGCAAAUGAAGCAAUAAAAUAAUCAAAACUAAAUCAACAUUUAAAUACAGAACAUAAAGAGAUAAAUCCAAAACCAGAAGAUCUCUUUGAAAGAAAAACCUAAGUAAUUAAAAAACUGAAAGCACAGAUAUUCAUUAUUUCACAAAUAAACGUUAAUGCUUUUUAGACAUCUUUAAGCAACUUUAGAUUGCUAAAACUAAAAAAUGCAAUUAAGACAAUAAUCUUAUAUAUAGACAAUAAUUGUCUUAAUAAUAAUCAGCAUCAAAGAUUCUUAGAAAUGUUGGGAGACUGUGUGGCAAAGAAAGUACUUCAAUUACCAGUUACCAACACACAACAAUUUGAAAUAUCCAGGAAGAUCAACCCAUAGAACAAAGAAAGCUAAUAAAUUACCUUUUCUUGCAAUUGGUUUGAUGUACCAUUAAUAUAUAGAUAUUACUAAUAUGGCAAUUAGUUUAUAUGCUAUUUGAAUAUGAUAGUAAUAUGAAGGAAGAUUCUCUUUUUUCCACUUCAUUGCCAACAAACAGCUAACUCUAAACAACAGUAAAGUGUGGAAUAAAUUACUUUGUUAAUUAAUGUGGUUUGAAGCUUUGUAGGAAUCCAAUUGGAUGGAUAGCAGCAGUGGUAAGAGAACAUUCCGGAAUAAUUACCUAAAUUAAGGAGCUUGCCCUAGAAUGUAAAUCAACCUACUAUAUCUUUUUAUUUGAAAAAGUCUUGGUAGAAAAAGCAUAUCAACUGAACUGUACAGUGUGUUCAGUGACUUAGUAAAGAACAUAACUUGUGUAAAGGCUAAUGCAAUAAGUUUGAGAUUGUUCUCUUUAUGUAAUAGUUUGGAAAACAAACAACUGUGAUUACAUUUAGAGAUAUGAUGAUUAUCUAGAGGGAAAGUUCUGUUGAGCAUAUUUGAACAUUUAAUUAUUGCUGCAAGAAGCCAGUUUGGUCCCAGCUUUAUAAAGAUAUACAUUGGGCUGGGUGCGGUGGCUCAUGCCUGUAAUCCCAGCACUUUGGGAGGCCGAGGCAGGCGGAUCACCUGAGGUCAGAGGUUCGAGACCAGCCUGGCCAACAUGGUGAAACCCCAUCUCUACUAAAAAUACAAAAAUUAGCUGGGCGUGGUGGCACACACCUGUAUUCCUUGCUACUCGGGAGGCUAAGGCAGGAGAAUCGCUUGAACCCAGGAAGCAGAGGUUGCAGUGAGCCAAGAUUGUGCCACUGCACACCAGCCUGGAUAAAAAGAGUGAAACUCUGCCUCAAAAUAAAAUAAUAAAAUGAAAUAAAGAUAUAAAUUGGCCAGCUAGAGUUACCUGAAGUUACUAUCUUCAAUUAUCUGAAGACAGUUCUGAUAGCUUCAGAAUUCUUUCAUACAAGGCAGGAAUGCAACUUGUUUUUUAAUGGCAGAUAAAAUCAAAGAGCAAAAGCAAAAGGUAGAAGCUUGAAAGACCAGAGUUGCUACAGAUUGUUAUUACAUGUUCCAUAAUUUAACAAUUGUCAUUGAAGUUGGUGAUUGUCUUGAUAUUGCACAUCUGUAAGAAGUAAUCAAACUAUUGUGAAUUUGAUAGAAUGCUUUAAGUUUUAUUUUCCAACAAAAGAAUGUCUACAUACGGCAAAUUCAUAGAUCUGGAAUCCAUUUAUGUCAUCAAAAGAGGAUUUAAAUUUAAUUGUAAGCUUAUAUGAUACAUUGUUCUAACUGGCAACUAAUGAAGGAUUAAAAAUGAAUUUUGAAAAUACCACACCACUUGCUUCAUUUUGGAUAAAAGUUAAAAGUGAAUAUUCUGAGUAUGCUGAAAUUAGUUUAAAAACUUUUUUUUCCCAUUCCGACCAUUAUCCCUUUGUAAAUCUGGUUUCAUCUUAUGAAUAAUAUUUUUUAAAAACCAUGGAAACAGUUUAGAUAUACAUCAAUCCAUGAAAGUAGUAGUAUUGUCAAUCUACCCUGGAUUACAUAUUUUAACGAGAAAGAAACCAGCUCAUUUGUGACAUUUAGAAUUUUUUUUUUUUUUUUUUUUUUUUGAGAGAGAGGGUCUCAUUCAUUUUAUUGCCCAGGCUGGAGUGCAGUGGUGCAAUCGUAGCUCACUGUAACCUUGAACUUCUGGGCUCAAGCAAUCCUCUCACCUCAGCCUGCAGCUGGAGCUUCAGGUGUCUGCCAUCACGCCUGGCAAAUUUAUUUUUUGUAGAGACCAAGUCUCCUUGUGUUACCCAGGUUGGUAUCAAACUCCUGGUCUCAAGUGAUCCUCCCAUCUCGGCCCCCACAAGUGUUGAGAUGACAGGUGUGAGCCACCUUGCUUGACCUAAAAACUUUUGAAUAUUAAUAUGCAUUGUGUUUAUUCAAAGUAUAUCUAAUGGUCUAAUAAACAGAAUCACUACUUCAAUUAUAAUCUUCAGUUAUAAUUGAAGAAUGACAAAAAGUUGAGUUAUAGAAAUUAUAUUAAUCUUAAAUUCACAUUUUCAGUGAAAGUUUUUAAAUAAUUUUUUCUCUUUCCGUUUUAUGUGUGUUCCAAUUCUAUUUAUUGAAAUUUAAUUUUAUAUCCAUUAACAUAAUUAAAAAUUGGGGCUUUUAAAAAAUGUUUUUCAUUCUACUAAUUUCAUUUUAUAAUUUAUAAAAGUACUAGACCACAAUGGAUUAAAGAACUAUCCUUUCAUCACAGAUAGUUCAAUGACUCCUGUUUUUUUUUAGACCGAGUCUUGCUCUGUCACCCCAGCUGGAGUGCAGUGGUGUGAUCUUGGCUCACUGCAACCUCCGUCUCCCAGGUUCAAGCAAGUCUCCUGCCUCAGCCUUCCGAGUAGCUGGGACUACAGGUGCCCACCACCACACCCGGCUAAUUUUUGUAUUUUUAGUAGAGACGGGGUUUCACCAUGUUGGUCAGGCUGGUCUUGAACUCCUGACCUCAUGAUCUGCCUGCCUCGGCCUCCCAAAGUGCUAGGAUUACAGGCGUGAGCCACCAUGCCCAGCCAACUCCUGUUUUAUAGUGUACUUUCUGGAAUAUUAUUCAGCUUUCUCUUGAAUUCUUUUAGUAACUAGGAGUUCACUACGUUUCCAUGGACCUAACUCCAAUAAUGAUUGGACAGUUUUCUCCCUCUGCUUUUUCUUUCUUUCUUUCUUUUUUUUUUUUUUUUUUUUGAGAUGGCGUCUCCUCUGUCAAUCUCGGUUCAUUGCAACCUCCACCUCCCAAGCUCAAGCGAUUCUUGUGCCUCAGCCUCCUGAGUAGCUGGGAUUACAGGCACCCACCACCACACCUGGCUAAUUUUUUUUUUUGGUAGAGACAGGGUUUCACCAUGUUGACCAGGCUGGUCUUGAACUCCCGACCUCAGGUGAUCUGGCUGCCUUGGCCUCCCAAAGUGCUGACAUUACAGGCAUGAGCCACUGCACCUGGCCAUUAUUGGACAGUUUUAAUGGAAAGUGUUUCCUUAUAUUGAGUGGAAAUCAGUCUGCUUAUGGUUUAUAAUCCUCAGACUUGAUUCUCCCCCUGAAUCUAUAUGAAAUAAAUUUACUCCUAUUUGAAAAUAUUUGUCAUAUUCCUUCUUAUUUUUCUUUAAGCUUUAUUUUUUCUUAUUAUCCAUAUGACAUGUUUCCAGAACUCUCCCUUAUCCUGAUUGUCCUCCUUUAGACACAUGCUUUUAAUGAUAUAUUUCUUAAAAUGUAUUACCCAGGACAACAUAUUUUUUUUUACUGUGGACAGUAUACUUUUACGAAUGGUGCCAAUAAUGCAUUACAUUUUUUAGCAGUCAUGUCAUCCUCUUGAUUUGCAUUGAGUCAUCAUUUCUUAAGAGGGAAUCAGGAUAUCAAAAUAGUCUCCAAACUCAGCUGAUUCCUUCUGCAGAUACACUCUCCACCCUUCUUGAUUCCUUUUCGGGAGAAAAGAAAAAAGUUUAUUUUCAUUGCUAACCUCACUGAUUUUUAAUUUUACCAUUUAAAUGUUAGUAACAGCUGGUAAUGUAACCAAAGAAGAUUUUUGGCAGGGGAUGAUGCAUUCAGAGCCUUCACUCUGGCUACAGGGAGACCAUGGAGGAUGGGCUGGAACGGAAGCACGAUGGACUCCUGGGCACACCGUUAAGUGACUGAUGGAGUCAUUCAGCUGACAAAUGAUAAUGGCCUGGAUUAAGGAAGGAGAAGAGGGGACCAAGAAAUGCCAGAGAUACAUAGGAAGUAAAAAUUAAUAGGCCUUGGCAACUAUUUUUUUUUUUUUUUUUUGAGACAGAGACUUGCUGUGUUGCCCAGGCUGGAGUGCAGUGGGGUGAUCUCGGCUCACUGCAACCUCUGCCUCCUGGAUUCAAGCAAUUUUCGUGCCUCAACCUCCUGAGUAGCUGGGACUACAGGUGUGCAUCACCAUUCCCAGGUAAUUUUUGUAUUUUUAGUAUAGAUGGAGUUUCGCCAUUCUGGCCAGGCUGGUCUCGAGCUCCUGACCUCAAGUGAUUCGCCCGCGUCGGCCUCCCAAAGGGCUGGGAUUACAGACAUCAGCCACUGCACCUGGGUUGGCAACUAAUUUACACGGAAUGGCAGAGAGUGAUUAAUGAAAAAGCGGGGAGAAAAGCUGCUCUUGACAUCUGAAAGCUGACUUGGCAUUCACAGCUAGGCUAUGUUAUUUUCCUAUUGGGCAUAAGUCUCACAGAAUACCAACAUUAAACAAGAUGACUCUGAAACCUUAAUAAAGUGAGAAAAAACAAGUCCACUUUGUAAUUUUGUCUAAGCACAGGCAAAAAGAGGGUCAUGGUGCCAUCCAGAAAAUACCAAAAAUCACCCUCUCUCAGCUAAAAUGAGCAACUGCUACUUUACCAGUGACAGCUUUGUCCCAGCUCUAGUCUGCCUUCCCUAUAGAGAAGAUGUAUUGAGAUAAUCAUGAAAUUCUCCUUCUUUCUGAUAGUAUCCAAUCUGGAGCAAACCCGUUUCCUUAGACCCUCUCCCAAUCCCAAAUUCUAUACUAGGUUCUUCUAAACACUCUCAUACUGAGACACCCCAUGGUUCCCUAUGUUGUGUGUUCUUCUUUGCUGCAAUGAGUAAUAAACUCAACUUGUUUAACUA
Molecule: RNA transcript, 15662 nt
Organism: Homo sapiens (human)
Lineage: Eukaryota; Metazoa; Chordata; Mammalia; Primates; Hominidae
Gene: MRPL42
Gene name: mitochondrial ribosomal protein L42
Exons: 7
Source: RefSeq, marked reviewed